RNAcentral lists this ribosomal RNA (279 nucleotides) under uncultured bacterium. RNAcentral's name for it is "partial 16S ribosomal RNA". It matches the Rfam family "Bacterial small subunit ribosomal RNA", at positions 506 to 784 of the family's 1533-position model. The record is from RNAcentral.
UGCCAGCAGCCGCGGUAAUACGGAGGGUGCAAGCGUUGUUCGGAAUCACUGGGCAUAAAGCGCACGUAGGCGGUUCAGUAAGUGUGAAGUGAAAUCCCACGGCUCACCCGUGGAACUGCUUUGCAUACUGCUGGACUCGAGAAAGGUAGGGGAGAGCAGAACUCUUGGAGGAGCGGUGAAAUGCGUAGAUAUCAAGAGGAAUACCAGUGGCGAAGGCGGCUCUCUGGUCCUUUUCUGACGCUGAGGUGCGAAAGCUAGGGUAGCGAACGGGAUUAGAUA